CUAACUCACUUCCGGGUUUUAGGACUCGUCACUGCACCACUCUAUUACGUAAAGGAUAAUACUUUACUAAAUGUAGGUGCAUUCCACCUUGGUGGAUGACGACAUUGAAGAUGACAUUGGCUGCGUGUUGAACAUCAUCAGCAAAAUCAUUAAUGGUGGUUUCGCGAUGGGGCACAAACCUAAGCUUUGGAGAAUGGUGAAGCUCAUCUUCCAGCCCGAGUGCGACAAUGAGACCGCAGUACACUACUUUGCCGAAUGCAAAGACCAAUAACUAUCAUGGAGUAAAUAACCUUUUCUUCAAACCAGAGUUGAAUUAUAGCAGUAAUAAAGAGAAGCAUGUUGCACCUUU
Notothenia coriiceps (black rockcod) is the source of this 349-nucleotide long non-coding RNA. RefSeq lists it as uncharacterized. NCBI's taxonomy places the organism in Eukaryota, Metazoa, Chordata, Actinopteri, Perciformes, Nototheniidae. The record is from RefSeq and is a predicted model, not a curated record. The transcript is spliced from 4 exons.